Molecule: ribosomal RNA, 426 nt
Filed under: uncultured bacterium
Lineage: Bacteria
Description: bacterial SSU rRNA
Rfam family: Bacterial small subunit ribosomal RNA
Source: RNAcentral
GUGAGGAAUUUUCCGCAAUGGGCGAAAGCCUGACGGAGCAAUGCCGCGUGAAGGAUGAAGGCCUAUGGGUUGUAAACUUCUUUUCUCAGAUAAGAAUUAUGACGGUAUCUGAGGAAUAAGCAUCGGCUAACUCUGUGCCAGCAGCCGCGGUAAGACAGAGGAUGCAAGCGUUAUCCGGAAUGAUUGGGCGUAAAGCGUCUGUAGGUUGUUUAAAAAGUAUUCUGUCAAAGAUUAGGGCUUAACCCUAGAUAGGCAGAAUAAACUUUUAAGCUAGAGUUUGGUAGAGGCAGAGGGAAUUCCCGGUGGAGCGGUGAAAUGCGUAGAUAUCGGGAGGAACACCAAAGGCGAAGGCACUCUGCUGGGCCAAUACUAACACUGAGAGACGAAAGCGAGGGGAGCAAAUGGGAUUAGAUACCCGGGUAGUCC